GAUCCUGGCUCAGGAUAAACGCUAGCGGCAGGCCUAACACAUGCAAGUCGAGGGGCAUCGGAUAGAGUACUUCGGCACUCUUGCCGGCGACCGGCGGACGGGUGCGUAACGCGUAUGCAACCUACCUUCAACAGGGGGAUAAUCCGAAGAAAUUUGGUCUAAUACCCCAUAAUAUUCCGACAGGCAUCUGUCGGAGUUGAAAGCUUCGGUGGUUGGAGAUGGGACAUGCGUUGUAUUAGCUAGAUGG
This 247-nucleotide ribosomal RNA is filed under the name uncultured bacterium. RNAcentral describes it as "partial 16S ribosomal RNA". It matches the Rfam family "Bacterial small subunit ribosomal RNA", at positions 15 to 252 of the family's 1533-position model. The record is from RNAcentral.